AUGGGGGCGCGAGGAGGGGGCCCAGAGGCCACGGACGCCGGGCUUUCUGACGUGGUGACAGCCGUGCAGACACCGAGGACUUGGGAGAAGGGUCAGGAAGGGUCCAGGACGGGCCACUCUGAGGCACCGGGGACAUGGGCGGAGCUUGGUGCGAGAGCGGCCAGGGGAAGGCCCAGAGGAAGGGGCCGCUUCUGGGUGGCGUCCCUGGGGGACGGACCAGGGUCCAUCAGGGUCACCCGCGAGCUCGCCCGGCCCCCAAGGGAGCUCCAAGCACGAAGCGGCCGCAGGGGCAACGAGCGUGGGCUUAACUGCGAGAAGGAAAGAAACUGGGCCACCUGGAAGGGUCCGGGGGGGGCGAGCUCCCGGGGGUCAGCGCGGGGCACAGAGGUCCGGGCGCUUGCGAGCAGCGGGGUGGCCUCCGGGAGGGGUGGUGCCGCCGCGCCCCUUCCCCAGAUACAGGUCGCUAAGUGCCCUCGGGGUCGCUCCCCCGACAGGAGCUGUCCAGUGGGGACAACACGCUGCGCGCCGAGGGCGAGGAGGGUGGGACUCGGAGCGGGACUCCAGGGGACAGGAGCGCGGGACCACAAGUGCCGGGGCCCUGGCAGCUGUUCCUGGCACGGCCCACAGGGGCGGCCCCCACCUGCAGCCCUGCACCCCCAGUGGGCUCCACCUGCUGCAGCCCGGCUGAGACCGGGGCAGGGGAGGCCCUGCUCCCUCCAGCACCCUCGGGGGGGCCCGUCCCGGGUCUCCCCGCGCACCCCCCAGCCUCUAGAAGCCCGCCCCUCGGCACCCUUGGUGCUGGUCACUCCACCGAGGCCACGGAGGCCGAGCCCAAGCGGCCCGUUUGGCCCCUAUCCUGGCAGACACCAGCGGGGACACCAGCGUCCCUUCCUCUUCCUCCUGGCAGGACAGCCUGGGUGCUGUCGGUGCCAUGCGUCACUUCUGCAGGUCCCACGGGGGGUCCUCUGUCCGCCCCUCCUGGGUGCCACUCAGGCGUCACCCACCGUAUGA
Molecule: long non-coding RNA, 1011 nt
Filed under: Vulpes vulpes (red fox)
Lineage: Eukaryota; Metazoa; Chordata; Mammalia; Carnivora; Canidae
Description: lncRNA (ENSVVUG00000000146.1)
Source: RNAcentral